RNAcentral lists this transfer RNA (67 nucleotides) under Moschiola indica. RNAcentral's name for it is "tRNA-Val". Lineage: Eukaryota; Metazoa; Chordata; Mammalia; Artiodactyla; Tragulidae. The record is from RNAcentral.
CCAAAAUAUAGCUUAAACAAAGCAUCUAGUUUACACCUAGAAGAUUUCAUAAUAGUGAAUGUUUUGA